GGCCGCGUGGCCUAAUGGCAUGGCGUCAGAUUUCGGUUAUCCAAUAGAAGAUAAUUUAUUCUCUGAAGAUUGUCGGUUCGAAUCCGGCCGUGGUCG
Non-coding RNA from Xylaria longipes, 96 nucleotides. Lineage: Eukaryota; Fungi; Ascomycota; Sordariomycetes; Xylariales; Xylariaceae. The record is from the annotation of a GenBank genome assembly.